GGAGCAUACAUAUGUGUGUAAUAGACCAUCUUCAUUCAUGAACACAAUAUUCAGUCAUGAACAUAUUACUAUUUCAUCAAGAACAUGUAUGUCAAUUUUUAAUCUAUUAAGCUAGCACGUGCAUAAAGCAGGCAUGUCAAGCUAGCAUGUGCAUAAUUUGGCCACAAAGCUAGCAUGUCAAUCUCUUUUAGGUCAAUAUUUACAUUUAGGUUUGUUUCUGCCUGAGAUUGUAUCACAUUUUUAAGUAUCUUAUGGACACAAUUAGACUCACUUUUCUUCAUGAACGUUGUGUAUUUAUGUCUUAGCUUUCUAACAAGAUAUAUUACAUCUAAUUCUGACCUUCCUAACUUAAGUUAUGAAUUUUUCUUUGCAACCUGCUCAAUCAGGUCCUAACCAGUACAGUUUUGGGAUCUGUUUUUAAUCUAACAAAACCUAUCAUAUGCAUACAUUUUCAUACAGAUUCAAGCUUAACUUUCUUGUACAAAGUUUUAGGUAUACUUUUCAGGGUUCAUUUGGCACUGGGCUUAACUCAUUUCAUUGAGUAAAUCAUUAGUUAUGGUCUAGGAUAUACAUACUGCUCCGGAUGCACAAUUCCCUGUGACCAGCUUAGGUUCACUAGCAAUUUUCACAUAAUUAGCUACAGAUUCAGACUUUGGUUACUUCAUGAAAGUUUUAGCUUUUUGUCUUAGCUUUCAUUUGGUAUAUGCUAGGCUUAAUUUUAAUGAAUACACAAUAAGUUAUGAGGCUUCUAACAUAGACUGUCCUGUUGGAACCUAUUCUGCCAGUUUUAUGUUUUUGGCUCCCAUGUUGUAUCUAUGUGCUUUAAACCUGCCAAUCAUCAUUUCACCAUUCAUAUGACAUAUCCAUACAAUCAAAGCAACAUUUCCAGCAAGUAAAAUCAACCCCUAAUUUCACUUAUUCAUGACAGAAUCAAAGGAAAACAGAAAGUCAUA
Molecule: long non-coding RNA, 953 nt
Filed under: Manihot esculenta (cassava)
Lineage: Eukaryota; Viridiplantae; Streptophyta; Magnoliopsida; Malpighiales; Euphorbiaceae
Description: long non-coding RNA (MESC_LNC012524)
Source: RNAcentral